Molecule: long non-coding RNA, 214 nt
Filed under: Eucalyptus grandis
Lineage: Eukaryota; Viridiplantae; Streptophyta; Magnoliopsida; Myrtales; Myrtaceae
Description: long non-coding RNA (EGRA_LNC006525)
Source: RNAcentral
GCCGACGCUGCCCGGAGCCUCUGCCAGACCCGAUUCCGCCUCCUGCUCCGCUCCCCUGCGCUCGCGAGUCGCUGUCCACUGCACCCAACGACCGCUCCUGUGACGCCGCGACCCACCUUGACCGCAACCUCCGGCCCACCGAAGCUCUGCCGAGACCGGACCCGAGCCAGAUCUGCCCAACGCCGCCCCUGCUCAGCCCGUGCUGACCCGCGAC